UUGGUUCAUCUCCCAAGUCUUUGUGAUCUUAACACUAAUGAUUUUCAAGUUGUGAGAGUAUAAAAUUAACAUCCACGUUAGUUAGGAUUAUAUGUGUUGAUUAAUAUAUUUAUAUAAUUACGAUUAAGCUUACAUGAUGGAUUUCUCAAUCAAAUCAAAUAUAAAUGAACAGUUUAUUUAUUGCUACUUUUAUAAUUGGAAUUCAAAAAAUAAGUUAUUAUAUUCAUCUUUUAUGGACUAG
RNAcentral lists this long non-coding RNA (241 nucleotides) under Carica papaya (papaya). Its description in RNAcentral is "long non-coding RNA (CPAP_LNC001148)". The record is from RNAcentral. Lineage: Eukaryota; Viridiplantae; Streptophyta; Magnoliopsida; Brassicales; Caricaceae.